UACGUAGGGUGCGAGCGUUGUCCGGAAUUAUUGGGCGUAAAGAGCUCGUAGGCGGUUUGUCGCGUCGGCCGUGAAAACUUGGGGCUUAACCCCAAGCCUGCGGUCGAUACGGGCAGACUUGAGUUCGGCAGGGGAGACUGGAAUUCCUGGUGUAGCGGUGAAAUGCGCAGAUAUCAGGAGGAACACCGAUGGCGAAGGCAGAUCUCUGGGCCGUAACUGACGCUGAGGAGCGAAAGCGUGGGGAGCGAACAGG
RNAcentral lists this ribosomal RNA (253 nucleotides) under uncultured bacterium. Its description in RNAcentral is "partial 16S ribosomal RNA". It matches the Rfam family "Bacterial small subunit ribosomal RNA", at positions 524 to 776 of the family's 1533-position model. The record is from RNAcentral.